AGCCUUUAGCCAAACAAGUAUUAAAGGUCCCGCCUGCCCCAGUGAAAUUUUUUAACGGCCGCGGUAUUCUAACCGUGCAAAGGUAGCGUAAUCACNUGUCUUCUAAAUAAAGACUAGUAUGAACGGCUAAAUGAGGACAACCCUGUCUCCUGCGGCCAAUCAGUGAAACUGAUCUUCCAGUACAAAAGCUGGAAUAAAAUCAUAAGACGAGAAGACCCUGUGGAGCUUCAAACCAAAUACUACUAAUAAGCUUAGUAAGAGGUUUUAAGUUGGGGCGACUUCGGAACAAAACACAACUUCCAAGCACAGAGACACAACCUCUCUUUCAGGCCAACAUGCCUAAAAUAUAUAAACGACCCAGUCAUACUGACCAACGAACCAAGUUACCCCAGGGAUAACAGCGCCAUCUUCUUCAAGAGUCCAUAUCGACAAGAAGGUUUACGACCUCGAUGUUGGAUCAGGACACCCAAAUGGUGCAGCCGCUAUU
RNAcentral lists this ribosomal RNA (487 nucleotides) under Subdoluseps frontoparietalis. Its description in RNAcentral is "partial large subunit ribosomal RNA". It matches the Rfam family "Bacterial large subunit ribosomal RNA", at positions 1817 to 2566 of the family's 2925-position model. Lineage: Eukaryota; Metazoa; Chordata; Lepidosauria; Squamata; Scincidae. The record is from RNAcentral.